CCUACGGGAGGCAGCAGUAGGGAAUCUUCCACAAUGGGCGAAAGCCUGAUGGAGCAACGCCGCGUGGGUGAAGAAGGUCUUCGGAUCGUAAAACCCUGUUGUUGGAGAAGAAAGUGCGUGAGAGUAACUGUUCACGUUUCGACGGUAUCUAACCAGACAGCCACGGCUAACUACGUGCCAGCAGCCGCGGUAAUACGUAGGUGGCAAGCGUUAUCCGGAUUUAUUGGGCGUAAAGGGAACGCAGGCGGGCUUGUAAGUCUGAUGUGAAAGCCUUCGGCUUAACCGGAGUAGUGCAUUGGAAACUGGGAGACGUGAGUGCAGAAGAGGAGAGUGGAACUCCAUGUGUAGCGGUGAAAUGCGUAGAUAUAUGGAAGAACACCAGUGGCGAAAGCGGCUCUCUGGUCUGUAACUGACGCUGAGGUUCGAAAGCGUGGGUAGCAAACAGGAUUAGAUACCCGUGUAGUC
This 465-nucleotide ribosomal RNA is filed under the name uncultured bacterium. RNAcentral describes it as "partial 16S ribosomal RNA". It matches the Rfam family "Bacterial small subunit ribosomal RNA", at positions 338 to 795 of the family's 1533-position model. The record is from RNAcentral.